GCUCAUCUGCGAAAGCUGUACAAAGAAGUGACCAUCAUGCAAGUGUUGGACCAUCCUAAUAUCGAAAAUUUUUACGAAGUUAUCGAAUCCAAGGACCAACUUUACAUUGUGCUGGAGUAUGUAAGAGGAGCACAGGAAAUCUCCAAAAAUAUCUGAUAGAUCAUGGCCUAAUGGAGGAGAAGAAAGCCCAUCACAUAUUCAGUCAGAUGGUGUUGGUGUUACAUUACUGUCAGAAAUAUAUUGCACACCGAGAUGUAAAGAUGGGAGAAUAAA
Molecule: long non-coding RNA, 273 nt
Organism: Bombina bombina (fire-bellied toad)
Lineage: Eukaryota; Metazoa; Chordata; Amphibia; Anura; Bombinatoridae
Exons: 5
Source: RefSeq, a predicted model, not a curated record